This 500-nucleotide ribosomal RNA is filed under the name uncultured bacterium. RNAcentral describes it as "partial 16S ribosomal RNA". It matches the Rfam family "Bacterial small subunit ribosomal RNA", at positions 30 to 523 of the family's 1533-position model. The record is from RNAcentral.
AUUGAACGCUGGCGGCAUGCCUUACACAUGCAAGUCGAACGGCAGCGCGGGAGCAAUCCUGGUGGCGAGUGGCGAACGGGUGAGUAAUGUAUCGGAACGUGCCCAGUCGUGGGGGAUAACGUAGCGAAAGCUACGCUAAUACCGCAUACGAUCUAUGGAUGAAAGCGGGGGAUCGCAAGACCUCGCGCGAUUGGAGCGGCCAAUAUCAGAUUAGGUAGUUGGUGGGGUAAAGGCCCACCAAGCCUGCGAUCUGUAGCUGGUCUGAGAGGACGACCAGCCACACUGGAACUGAGACACGGUCCAGACUCCUACGGGAGGCAGCAGUGGGGAAUUUUGGACAAUGGGCGCAAGCCUGAUCCAGCAAUGCCGCGUGCAGGAUGAAGGUCUUCGGGUUGUAAACUGCUUUUGUACGGAACGAAACGGCUUUUUCUAAUACAGAGAGCUAAUGACGGUACCGUAAGAAUAAGCACCGGCUAACUACGUGCCAGCCGCCGCAGUAA